CCUGUGGGGACAACCUCCAGUCUAAUGCAAUCCAUCCUCCGAGACUUCCCACAGCCAGACCCAGAUUCCCCCAUCUUCUGCUGCCCCUCGCUCUCCCAGAGCUUUUCCUGGGGGACACCCCAGAGCUGAGCCCGGCCCCAAACCCAACACGUGGACGAGCAAGGGGAACAAGGGACAUGUGAUCAGAUGGACACCGGUGUCAGAAGAGACUGAGAACCAGGAGGCUCCACAGUGUCUCUGAGUGCCCUGUCUCUGAGUGCCCUUGGUUCCAUGAGGCCCCACAGAAUCCCAGGAUGUGCUGUGGCAGCAGCACAAGAACAGAAGCAGCAGUCGUGCAACAACAGGGGAGCCGUGGAGGAGCAGAGAUGGAGCUCAGAAUAGCAGGAGAUGAGCAGUGGUGGAGCAGUGGUGGAACAGUGGUGGAGCAGUGUUGGACAAGCAGAGGAACUGUGCUGGAACACCCCCAGAGCAGCACUGGAGCAGCUUUUGAGCAGCAGUGGAGUAACCAUGGAAAAGGUGGAACAGUGGUGGGACAGGAGCCACAGCCAUGAACAGUGGUGGGACAGGAACCACAGCCAUGAACAGUGGUGGAACCGGAACCACAGCCAUGUGUGAUACUCACAUGCCCUCUGAACAGAGAGACAUAAUUCUGUCUCUCAGGUUUUUUCCUGGAGAAGUACAGAGGGAAAACAGUUUUUAUCUCUGCUUGCUGCUCCUGGUAUUCUGCACAAGUGGAAUGUGUUGGGAAGGUUGUUUACCUCAAGGAAUUUGGUCAUUGGAUUCUGGUGGAGAUUGUUUAUGUUAAUUAGCCCAUCAGGUCCAAGCUGUGCGGACCUGUGGGUCUGCAUACAGUCACAAGUUUUUAGUUAGAAGUAAGUAUUCUUUAGUAUUCUUUGUAGUAUUGUUAUAGUAUAGUAUAAUGUAACGUAAUAUAGUAUUAAUAAAGCGAGUGUUGAGCAUUCCAAA
Haemorhous mexicanus (house finch) is the source of this 966-nucleotide long non-coding RNA. RefSeq lists it as uncharacterized. NCBI's taxonomy places the organism in Eukaryota, Metazoa, Chordata, Aves, Passeriformes, Fringillidae. The record is from RefSeq and is a predicted model, not a curated record. The transcript has 3 exons.